UAAAGCAGCUCUGCUGUCACUCGGCGAGGACUGACGCUGCUCGGUUGUUCACGUACAGGUGAGCUGAGGUGCAACUUGGACUACAAAGUGCCAAAGCGUAGCGGAACGGCCUCGGUGGACUUCUUUCCGGAGUGGGAGGUCAAGUGGAUGCGGUCCAGCCUUCGAGGCUUGUUUUAAGUUGCCUGCGACGUGUAUUUGGACACAGGCAGCUAAAGCAAGUCUGGGAUGCGAGAGACACCCGUCAGCCUCGCGGAGAAGAAGGCGCCGUCCCGGACUCGCGAGGGGGUGGCGGUGGCGAUUCCUCUCCUCUCCCCCCCUGUGAGGUGUUGAAGGCCUUUUUAGAGCAUGUGGGAGUGGGAUGGAAAAUGGAAAAAAAUGAGAAAUGUUCAAUGUUGAUGCAGAAUGAAUGUGUUUGCUAAGUCACUAUCUUGAGCAAUGAUUAGCAGAGCACUCCGGGCUAGUCCUCUGAUUACUUGGAGAUGGACGAUUAUAGUUUUCUUCAAAGUAUGUUUUUAAACUAUUUGACUUGAUACCACGCAAGUGUGUUGCUGCCACACCAGGAAAAAAAAAACGUUCAAUGUUACGUUUCACCUUUCUGUGUGAUCGGUUGUCACGUUAAAACGUUUGGAGUUUCACGCUGUCAUCUGAUCAAUUUCACGUUUCACGAGAAGGUAACGAGUUUGGUGUUGCGUGUGAUACGUUUCACAUUGAAACAAGACCAUUUUCACACACAAAAAAAAACGUGAAAAUAUUUCCGUUUUAUAACGUUAAAAUGUGAUGUUAGAUUUGACUUCCGGUUCACGUGACUGGUCGAGUGACGCGUUACGCAAAAACGGAUGAUAGGCUGUCGCCUUUAAACGUAAUAUUCUCGUUUCUGCUCUUUUAGUAUUAUUUUCAGUUUUUUAAAAAUGAUGGAGUAUUUGUUCAGUGCAAGAUUUUUAAAAAAGUAUUCUGUAAUAAAGCAAACCACAGUUCUCAAA
Molecule: long non-coding RNA, 980 nt
Organism: Hippocampus zosterae (dwarf seahorse)
Lineage: Eukaryota; Metazoa; Chordata; Actinopteri; Syngnathiformes; Syngnathidae
Exons: 2
Source: RefSeq, a predicted model, not a curated record